GAUGUCAAAGAUAUGCAAUUGCCCACAACACAAAGUAAUGCGCUGGGCUAUGCCAUUUAUGCUGGGUAGUGCUUCUUAUUCACAACACAAAAAGAAUUGAAGUCAGAACCAACGCCGACCAAAGAAAAAGCUAAUCAUGUGUGCAAAAAUGCCAUUCGGUAACUCGGACCUUCCAACCAAAUAAAAAGCAGAUUUCAAAUAACAGUUGCUGCCGAUUGAACUAGCGGAAAACAAAACCUCCUAAUCUUUUUGCUACCAUCAAGAGCAGCGUCAUCAUUUCCUUGAUGGAGUUCUUUAGACAUAUUUGCAAUGAUCGUUGGCAGAGGUAACUUUUAGUUGGUAUUGAAGAAUUACACUAUGUUCUUGCCGCUUCCCCCACAACAAUAAAAGUUAUCCCCGAUACAAAAAGAACCAAUGUGUAAUUUUUUUCACUUAGCCAACUUUCAACAUAAAUAAAGUCAUGGUUAUCUGAAAUUUUCAACGAAUGUAAAGCCAGCUAAAACGCAAAUAAAUAAAAAAUAAUUUAA
Molecule: long non-coding RNA, 527 nt
Organism: Stomoxys calcitrans (stable fly)
Lineage: Eukaryota; Metazoa; Arthropoda; Insecta; Diptera; Muscidae
Exons: 2
Source: RefSeq, a predicted model, not a curated record